This 407-nucleotide ribosomal RNA is filed under the name uncultured bacterium. Its description in RNAcentral is "partial 16S ribosomal RNA". It matches the Rfam family "Bacterial small subunit ribosomal RNA", at positions 28 to 526 of the family's 1533-position model. The record is from RNAcentral.
GACGAACGCUGGCGGCGUGCCUAAUACAUGCAAGUCGAACGCAGUUGCGCACGGGUGAGUAUCGCGUAUGUAACUGCCUCAUAGCGGGGGAUAACUAUUUGAAACGAUAGCUAAUACCGCCUACUGUGAGAUGUACCUGAGUUGUAUUAGCUAGUUGGUUAGGUAAAGGCCCACCAAGGCGACGAUCCAUAGCCGGCCUGAGAGGGUGAUCGGCCACAAUGGGACUGAGAAACGGCCCAGACUCCUACGGGAGGCAGCAGGAGGGAAUCUUCGGCAAUGGACGGAAGUCUGACGGAGCAACGCCGCGGGAGUGAAGAAGGUCUUCGGAGCGUAAAGCUCUGUUGUUCGAGAAGCGGUAACUAAACAGAAAGGGACGGCUAACUACGUGCCAGCAGCCGCGGUAAUAC